AUUAAAUAUGUUUUUAUCUCACAUUCUCUGUAUAUAUGUUCGAUCCAAUCACUUAAGCAACACUGUACAUUUUCUUUUAAUUUCUCCCAAUUUAGGGUAAGACAAAACUACUUGAACUGAUGCGCAAUCACAUAGUGUCCACUUCUCAGUUGAGUGCCAGCUUCAUUGUGUCGAAUCCUCGUGCUGUGACCUCGACUGACCAGAUCCUGACAUUUAAUGUAACAACUGCUGGGUAGAUCCUGGUCAAUGGGGAGUCUGUUCUAGAGCUGAAUGUUGAAGUGUAGAAUGGCCGUCUUCAUUCAGUGGAGGGGCUUCUAAUCCCUCCAUCCAUAGAGCCCAUCAUACCUCACAGGUGUGACAUCAAAGAAACCAAUGUUUU
Long non-coding RNA from Carassius carassius (crucian carp), 379 nucleotides. RefSeq lists it as uncharacterized. The transcript has 3 exons. The record is from RefSeq and is a predicted model, not a curated record. NCBI's taxonomy places the organism in Eukaryota, Metazoa, Chordata, Actinopteri, Cypriniformes, Cyprinidae.